RNAcentral lists this ribosomal RNA (495 nucleotides) under uncultured bacterium. RNAcentral describes it as "partial 16S ribosomal RNA". It matches the Rfam family "Bacterial small subunit ribosomal RNA", at positions 28 to 507 of the family's 1533-position model. The record is from RNAcentral.
GAUGAACGCUGGCGGCGUGCCUAAUACAUGCAAGUAGAACGCUGAAGGAGGAGCUUGCUCUUCUGGAUGAGUUGCGAACGGGUGAGUAACGCGUAGGUAACCUGCCUGGUAGCGGGGGAUAACUAUUGGAAACGAUAGCUAAUACCGCAUGACAACAGUUAUUGCAUGAUAACUGUUUAAAAGUGGCAACUGCUCCACUACCAGAUGGACCUGCGUUGUAUUAGCUAGGUGGUGAGGUAACGGCCCACCAAAGCGACGGUACAUAGCCGAGCUGAGAGGGUGGACAGCCACACUGGGACUGGGGCACGGCCCAGGACCCCUCGGGGGGGCACCAGAGGGAAUCAUCGGAAAAGGGCGGCAGUCUGGACGAGGAACGACGGGGGAGUGAAGGAGGUUUUCGGGUCGUAAAGGUCUGUUGUAAGGGAAGAACGAGUAGGAGGGUGAAACGUCCACACUGUGACGGUACCUAACCAGAAAGGGACGGCUAACUACGUG